GACGAACGCUGGCGGCGUGCUUAACACAUGCAAGUCGAACGGAAAGGCCCUGCUUGCAGGGUGCUCGAGUGGCGAACGGGUGAGUAACACGUGGGUGAUCUGCCCCUUACUUUGGGAUAAGCCUGGGAAACUGGGUCUAAUACUGGAUAGGACCAUGCUGUAGGUGGUGUGGUGGAAAGAGUAGUUUCGGUAAGGGAUGAGCUCGCGGCCUAUCAGCUUGUUGGUGGGGUAAUGGCCUACCAAGGCGUCGACGGGUAGCCGGCCUGAGAGGGUGGACGGCCACAUUGGGACUGGGAUACGGCCCAGACUCCUACGGGAGGCAGCAGUGGGGAAUAUUGCACAAUGGGCGCAAGCCAGAUGCAGCGACGCCGCGUGGGGGAUGACGGCCUUCGGGUUGUAAACUCCUUUCAGCCAUGACGAAGCCCUUGUGGUGACGGUAGUGGUAGAAGAAGCACCGGCUAACUACGUG
RNAcentral lists this ribosomal RNA (469 nucleotides) under uncultured bacterium. Its description in RNAcentral is "partial 16S ribosomal RNA". It matches the Rfam family "Bacterial small subunit ribosomal RNA", at positions 28 to 507 of the family's 1533-position model. The record is from RNAcentral.